This 546-nucleotide ribosomal RNA is filed under the name uncultured bacterium. RNAcentral describes it as "bacterial SSU rRNA". It matches the Rfam family "Bacterial small subunit ribosomal RNA", at positions 777 to 1320 of the family's 1533-position model. The record is from RNAcentral.
AAUAGAUACCCGGGUAGUCCACCCCGUAAACGUUGGGAACUAGUUGUGGGGUCCUUUCCACGGAUUCCGUGACGCAGCUAACGCAUUAAGUUCCCCGCCUGGGGAGUACGGCCGCAAGGCUAAAACUCAAAGGAAUUGACGGGGACCCGCACAAGCGGCGGAGCAUGCGGAUUAAUUCGAUGCAACGCGAAGAACCUUACCAAGGCUUGACAUACACCAGAACACCCUAGAAAUAGGGGACUCUUUGGACACUGGUGAACAGGUGGUGCAUGGUUGUCGUCAGCUCGUGUCGUGAGAUGUUGGGUUAAGUCCCGCAACGAGCGCAACCCUCGUUCUAUGUUGCCAGCACGUAAUGGUGGGAACUCAUGGGAUACUGCCGGGGUCAACUCGGAGGAAGGUGGGGAUGACGUCAAAUCAUCAUGCCCCUUAUGUCUUGGGCUUCACGCAUGCUACAAUGGCCGGUACAAAGGGCUGCAAUACCGUGAGGUGGAGCGAAUCCCAAAAACGCCGGUCCCAGUUCGGAUUGAGGUCUGCAACUCGACCUCA